This 484-nucleotide ribosomal RNA is filed under the name uncultured bacterium. RNAcentral's name for it is "partial 16S ribosomal RNA". It matches the Rfam family "Bacterial small subunit ribosomal RNA", at positions 29 to 507 of the family's 1533-position model. The record is from RNAcentral.
AUUGAACGCUGGCGGAAUGCUUUACACAUGCAAGUCGAACGGCAGCACGGGGGCAGCCCUGGUGGCGAGUGGCGAACGGGUGAGUAAUACAUCGGAACGUGCCCGGUCGUGGGGGAUAACGUAGCGACAGUUACGCUAAUACCGCAUACGAUCUGAGGAUGAAAGCGGGGGACCUUCGGGCCUCGCGCGAUCGGAGCGGCCGAUGUCAGAUUAGGUAGUUGGUGGGGUAAAGGCCUACCAAGACGACGAUCUGUAGCUGGUCUGAGAGGACGACCAGCCACACUGGGACUGAGACACGGCCCAGACUCCUACGGGAGGCAGCAGUGGGGAAUUUUGGACAAUGGGCGCAAGCCUGAUCCAGCCAUGCCGCGUGCAGGACGAAGGCCUUCGGGUUGUAAACUGCUUUUGUACGGAAAGAAAAGGCUCUGGCUAAUACCUGGGGCUCAUGACGGUACCGUAAGAAUAAGCACCGGCUAACUACGUG